GGCGCGCUUACCGCAGGCGGCGCGGGCGGGAGCGGCUUCGCGGCGGGCGCGGGCGCGCCAGACGCGGGUUUCGGCGGUUCGGUCCUGGCGCGCGGCGCC
This 99-nucleotide transfer RNA is filed under the name Methylocystis echinoides. RNAcentral describes it as "tRNA-Arg". Lineage: Bacteria; Pseudomonadati; Pseudomonadota; Alphaproteobacteria; Hyphomicrobiales; Methylocystaceae. The record is from RNAcentral.